This 234-nucleotide ribosomal RNA is filed under the name uncultured bacterium. RNAcentral's name for it is "partial 16S ribosomal RNA". It matches the Rfam family "Bacterial small subunit ribosomal RNA", at positions 543 to 776 of the family's 1533-position model. The record is from RNAcentral.
GCUCGGAAUCACUGGGCGUAAAGCGCACGUAGGCGGAUUUCUAAGUCAGGGGUGAAAUCCUGGAGCUCAACUCCAGAACUGCCUUUGAUACUGGGAAUCUCGAGUCCGGGAGAGGUGAGUGGAACUGCGAGUGUAGAGGUGAAAUUCGUAGAUAUUCGCAAGAACACCAGUGGCGAAGGCGGCUCACUGGCCCGGUACUGACGCUGAGGUGCGAAAGCGUGGGGAGCAAACAGG